GGGAGCCUGGUGCUGCCCUGUCCCGUGCCAGCUGCACACAUCGGGCGUGGAGCGCCAACCUUAUGGCCGUGUGGGCCAUUUUCGUCCUGUUUUUCCAGUCCAUUUUUAUUCUCAAUUAUACACAUUGCUAUAUUUGUUAAUGUUCCUAUGGCAACCGCUUUAACUGCUUACAUAGAAAUGUAAUGUCAGGAAACUAUUUAAUGCUUCUGUGGAUGACUUAAUGUGAUUUAGCCCUCUGGUGCAAGGAGAAAUCAGCAUCGUGCGAGCACUGGACGUUGGCUCCUGGCCGUUCUGGAUUUGCACAUCUUGGGUUUCCCACUGCUCGUGCUGAUCUGGAGAAUUUGUACCAAAUAUUUCCAGGCUGAGUAGGAAACACCACUCCAUCCCCACUCACUGGUGCUGGAUCUUGGUACAUUAUCUUCACAUUUCCAUACUGAGGUAGGGAGAUCUUCUAUGACCUCAUUUUCUUAAGCCUUGGAGAAGUGAUUUUGGUGUUGGUAACCCUCCUGGGAGGUGUAACAUAAAUAACGUGGAUUAAAAGAGAUGUGAUUACAUGUAAUGCAACCGUGCUGCUGUCUCAAACAGAUUUUAGAGUUCUUUGUGUCUUUUAUCCUCUGCCAUUCCAGUAAGCAGCAAUAUUUGCUUGCUCUUUCUUAAAUGGCUGUAUUUCUCAAAUGGCAGUCAUUUCUUAAAUGACUGUUUUUUGAUAAAUGCCAUCUACAUGAGGUAUUUCCUAGCAUGUGGUUUGCUGGGUGGUACUCUUAGCUCCUCUUGUUUUCUGUCUAGUGAGAUGAAUGAAAAGGUGUUUUUUGAACAAGACCAUCCAUAACGUGCUGGUUUUUUUCUGGGUGUCUUCAAGCCAAUGCCUUGUCAGGUUAUAGCUCUGUGUGGGCUUAGGGACUCCAUUGGUUAAUUAUUUGUCUUGGCCCUAACUCUUAGUUUCUGUCAUUAAAGGACAGGCCAAAUGAUCAGUGUCCUUGGCUUAAUCUUCUUAGCAAGUAAGCUGUCCAUUGAAUUUCUGCUCUAAUCAAACAGGCAUAAGGAAAGAUGAGAAAAUAAGAUUUCUGGCUUGUUUCAUAUUGCGUGUGGA
Long non-coding RNA from Gallus gallus (chicken), 1090 nucleotides. The record is from Ensembl. Lineage: Eukaryota; Metazoa; Chordata; Aves; Galliformes; Phasianidae.